UCGACUAAAGAACCCUAAAAAUACAAGGAUUUGCUCGUAUAACAUCGUUUCCGAGCCUCUCCUUACAAUCUAUUCUCCUCAACUCCUAAAAAUAUAAGGAUCCGAGGAGUUUUGGAAAAAUUCACAAAAAGCGACCACUGGUUUUCAACUCUCUCCUCAAGUUCACUUUUUUUUCUUUUUUGCUGCAAUCAGGUCAGAUCGGUCGACGUGGAUGGUAGCUGAGCGGUGCGCAGGUUGCCAAGUAAGAAAAUUUUCAAGAAAACAUUUAAAAAUAAUUUUUCUAGGACAUUUUGUGUUUCCAUUUAUUUCCAUUUAACAUUCCAUGUUACAUGGCAAUACAUUUAUUUGAUUCAGCAUUUGAGUAUUCAGUAAAUUAAAGUUUUAAGUUUUCAAUUUUUAUUUC
Long non-coding RNA from Olea europaea var. sylvestris, 403 nucleotides. RefSeq lists it as uncharacterized. The transcript has 2 exons. Lineage: Eukaryota; Viridiplantae; Streptophyta; Magnoliopsida; Lamiales; Oleaceae. The record is from RefSeq and is a predicted model, not a curated record.